Molecule: ribosomal RNA, 462 nt
Filed under: uncultured bacterium
Lineage: Bacteria
Description: partial 16S ribosomal RNA
Rfam family: Bacterial small subunit ribosomal RNA
Source: RNAcentral
AGUGAACGCUGGCGGCGUGCCUAAUACAUGCAAGUCGAACGGAGAUUAAGUAGCUUGCUAUUUAAUCUUAGUGGCGCACGGGUGAGUAAUAUAUAGCUAACUUGCCCAUUACUAAGGGACAACAGUUGGAAACGACUGCUAAUACCUUAUACUCCGUAUCUAUAUAAGUAGAUACGGGAAAGUUUUUCGGUAAUGGAUAGGGCUAUAUCGUAUCAGCUAGUUGGUAAGGUAAUGGCUUACCAAGGCUAUGACGCGUAACUGGUCUGAGAGGAUGAUCAGUCAAACUGGAACUGAGACACGGUCCAGACUCCUACGGGAGGCAGCAGUAGGGAAUAUUGCUCAAUGGGGGAAACCCUGAAGCAGCAACGCCGCGUGGAGGAUGACACUUUUCGGAGCGUAAACUCCUUUUCUUGGGAAAGAAUUAUGACGGUACCCAAGGAAUAAGCACCGGCUAACUCCGUG